Long non-coding RNA from Brachypodium distachyon (stiff brome), 694 nucleotides. RefSeq lists it as uncharacterized. The record is from RefSeq and is a predicted model, not a curated record. Lineage: Eukaryota; Viridiplantae; Streptophyta; Magnoliopsida; Poales; Poaceae. The transcript has 2 exons.
UCCAGCCCCAUCUGUCAUGACCGAAUGAGAACUUUUUCUCUCCUCUCAAAAAAACAUGAGACCUUUUUCUCAUUGGAACUCCCCCUGAACUAGUGAACUCAUGUGCUCCGCGGCGGCAUCAACUGCAAAUGCCGGUGGAUGCUGCUACGCCGAGCUCACAGGCUGCUCGCCAUCCUUCCGCCCGCAACUAGCCUCUCCCGCAGCUCCUGCACACAUCCCAGCCCGCACCUCCCCCUCGUCUCCCUCCACAGCCCUGCCGCCGACGCGCCCGCCACCUGCUCGACGGAACGCCCCGCGGGACACGGGCCAGCUCCAUCGUGCGCGCGCUCAGGGAAGACGACGCGCCCCUCGCCGACGCCGUCGAACCCCUCCACUGCGCUGCCCUCAAGUCCGGCGCCCGUGCUCACCUCCCUCCACGCGGCCUACGCCAGCUGGAUGCGUAGUCGACCACAUGACCACACAUCCAUCGUCAUUUGUCAUUUCCGAAGCUAGGAUCGAUAGAUAUUAGCACUAUUGUGUUGUUUUCUGCCCCCUUUUUCUUUAUGCGUACAUAUCAAUGUGAGAUGUAUAAUGCACAAACAUCCUUUUGGAGGUGAGGCGAUGAGAUGUAUAAUGCACAAACAUCCUUUUGGAGGUGAGGUGAUGAGAUGUAUAAUGCACAAACAUCCUUUUAGAAGCAGAAUCUUUUAUGAGA